This 403-nucleotide ribosomal RNA is filed under the name uncultured Hyphomicrobiaceae bacterium. RNAcentral describes it as "bacterial SSU rRNA". It matches the Rfam family "Bacterial small subunit ribosomal RNA", at positions 356 to 774 of the family's 1533-position model. Lineage: Bacteria; Pseudomonadati; Pseudomonadota; Alphaproteobacteria; Hyphomicrobiales; Hyphomicrobiaceae. The record is from RNAcentral.
GGGGAAUAUUGCACAAUGGGCGAAAGCCUGAUGCAGCAACGCCGCGUGAGCGAUGAAGGCCUUUGGGUCGUAAAGCUCUGUCCUUGGGGAAGAAUAAAUGACGGUACCCUUGGAGGAAGCCCCGGCUAACUACGUGCCAGCAGCCGCGGUAAUACGAAGGGGGCUAGCGUUGUUCGGAUUUACUGGGCGUAAAGCGCACGUAGGCGGUUUGUUAAGUCAGAGGUGAAAUCCCGGAGCUCAACUCCGGAACUGCCUUUGAUACUGGCAAGCUAGAGUCCGGAAGAGGUAAGUGGAACUCCUAGUGUAGAGGUGGAAUUCGUAGAUAUUAGGAAGAACACCAGUGGCGAAGGCGGCUUACUGGUCCGGAACUGACGCUGAGGUGCGAAAGCGUGGGGAGCAAACA